Molecule: long non-coding RNA, 3556 nt
Filed under: Triticum aestivum (bread wheat)
Lineage: Eukaryota; Viridiplantae; Streptophyta; Magnoliopsida; Poales; Poaceae
Description: long non-coding RNA (TAES_LNC019684)
Source: RNAcentral
AGAACGGAAUGCAAUCAUUCAGGCGCGUCAUAUGUCAAUUCUGUAAAUGAGAAUCUCACUGCAGCAACAACAAAAUAAUAUGUCCAGCAGUCACACACAAGCAUUCUGUUUAUUUCACACUCCCAAAGCAAGACAAAUACAACGUCUGCAGAAGUAUGUACUGCGUGCUUCAUACGGAGCAUCGAUGGCUGAUCAAUGUACAGGUGCAGAAUACCAAGAGAGAUUUCAGGUUACCUAGACACUCUGCAGGAAAAAAAAAGGCAGGUUGGUUCAGGAGCUUGAAGAAAGAUUGUAUGCAAGAAUUAUAAAUCACCAGAGAAGGAAGUUCUAAUUGUUCGUUUUAAUGUCACGUAGCAGGGCUGGCGCACAGUGGAAGGGCAUACAAUAGCAACUUGGAGCAGCAACGACAACUUGGAAAAUAUCAUAAACAAUGGAGUCCCAUCUUAUUAGAUUUAAACCGCUUUAUCUAUUUAGAAAUGUAAGCCACAUGUUAAUAGUGAAAAGAAACAAAUAGAAUAAUAGCCCAUUUUUGUGAAGGUCUGGUGCCAGAUCAGAUGUGUCAUCAUAGCCACAGCAUAAACAGACAGGUUCAUACAGAAAUUGGAAAGACCAAUGAAUCUCAGUAACGCAUGCAAUCUUGAUAAAUAUUCUGCUAUCUUAGUUUUCAAUUUUUCAUCAUUAUUAUUCACGAUUGGUCAACUAGACAUGGAAAAGUUCAAAUAAGGAGCCCUGGAACAGCCCAAAACAUGACAUGGAUUUGCCUGCGCAGAACAAACUUCUGCAAGAGGACAGCAUAGUGGACUAUAGCCCUAAAAUUGACAGAUAAAUCUUCAUCCAGUCGUAUUCAGAUUUCACAAGGCUGUACAGAAUGUUAGUUUAGCACAUCUAAUAGCUUGGGUACCCACAUCUGAAGAGGCUUCAUCUCUAACUGGAAUUAUACAAACAAAACAAAAUGGUGAGGACAAUUCGAGUGAGCCCUCUAGCUGCAUCUUGUGAUGACCUCAAUCAGAUCGAAGCUACUCUGGAGAACUACAACUACUGCCCAAACUAAGCAGAUUCUUACGGCAUCUAUCAUCCAAAGCAUGGGAAUAUUGGUACGACUUAUAAUUUGGCUUCAGCCCAAUAGGGCAAUCUGCCAAACCAGCAGUUUUGUCACCAAAUUCCUUUGGUGGCUGAGCAUCUCAUCACUUUGAAGUUGUGUGUGUCUUCUUAUUUGUUGUUUGCUUGUACUUGUUCAUGGUUUUUGCAAGAUUAUUCUCUAUGUUCCUAGUAUAUGGUCAAAUCAUUUGGAGUUUUGUCAUUUUAAAGUUGGGUGUGAUGUUUUUCUGUCUCAAAACAAGCGAUGAACAUUCUUAGCUGGUCACCGAUGUGGGGCAUUACUAUAGGUGUCACAAUUUUGGGAAUUUCUCUUUUGAUCAAACAAUAUUUUUAAUCUGAACUUGAAGCUGUUUUUCUUUCGGACUAUGUAUGGCCUCCUCUACCGGAGUAGUCUAUCUUUUGUAGUGGAGUGCAUGACAUUGUUGAGAGGACUUGUUCAGAUAAAUGAAGUCAAGUGUGCGAUGUGAUUGUUUAGUGAGAAACUGUAGCACAAGCUGCGAGGUGUUAGACAUCCUUCAUUUUGGGAAGGAGGGAGUACUGUUUACCUCUUUAAAGUAACCACGGUGCAUCUUAACUUCUUGUAGCAUUUUGUAUAUAUUGUCCAACUCACUUUAUGGUACCUAUCAACCUAUCUAUCCAUCAAACCUACUUCUCAUGACAGACUGUACUAGGACAACGGAGAUUAACAAAUAGCUACUACUGAUAAUUUUUGUCCAACAAGUAAAGACAUUCCCAGUUCAAAAAAAGUAAAGACAUACCUACUUGUUUGAUGUAUAACACAUUUUUUUUCUCUCUACAUAUGCCUAGGAUGCCAUGCAACGAGCGGCACAUGUAGUGAAGCUUGCAAACAAUGCAUCGUAUUAUUUUCUUGUCUUGUGUUCGGUUUCGCAUCCCCCUCAUCGAAGUAUCAGAACUUUGAGCAAAAAAACAACUUGAGAAUAUGACAAUACAAUACCUUCGGAACGAGUGACAUUGGGAAAAACAAUUCUACCAACAAGCCUCCCUUCAGCUUAAAACGGAUAAGUGCCUCUCUUCAACAAGCCCCUCUUCAGCCUAAAACGGAUCAGUGCCUCUCUUCAGCUUAGGGGUUGUUUGGUUGGGAUUCCUACCUCGAAGCCGGAAGCUGCUAUUUAGGGGCUUCUGGCUGCAGCUGUGGAACAACCUCUAAAACUGAUGAGUUUGAAGCAUUACCUCAAUCUUUCCAAUUGUGUUGACCUUCCUUUUCUGGAUUCAACAUUGACGAGGCCCACAUCUACGCUCCCGACACCAUUGGUGAUUUUGUUGGUGUUGGCUCGACUAUGCGCCGACAACAGACAAGGUCAAGCUUGAUCUGCUGACUUCUUCCUUGGUAUGCGUCUCACCUAGACCAAUUGGUCGAAGGAGGGUUAUGGGUAGGAGUUGGUCGAAGGAGGGCAGAGGGUGUGAGUUGGUCGAAAAGAAAGGCUGCAGAUGUGAGCUGGUCAGUUCUCUGAGGCAGCUUCCUGCUUGAGCCCAAGACCACUGAUGAGAAUAACCACCACAGCGGUAGCAUCUCAUGUUACUAGAUGAACCGCGUGCUUAUUGACUUUUAUUUAUCUCUCUAUAUACUACUUAAAACACAUGUAAGGUUCCUUUAUCAUCAGUUUCCACCUCCCACCAUGUCCCUCCACCAGGUUUUUCAUCCAUCCAGUUUUUCUCCACCACGACCUUUGUACGCAGCUUUCCCGUAUGCUAAUUAAUCACAUACAUUUACUUACCAUUUAUGUUAAAUCCAUGUAUUUCAGUAAUUUAUUUACCUUUUGCAUCAAUUCCACAAGCUAAGUAUCAUGCAUGUCCUAGGCUACCAAACUAUAAGGGCGCCAAAACCAAAUUCUAAUUUAGAGAGGUAAAUUAUCGGAAGGAUUUGAUAAAUAUUUAUUUACACAAUAUAUUAAUAUGGGCAAGUAAAUUGCGCCUAACUAUUAGAACAUUUUACAACACGUUGUAACGCAUGGGCAAUUAUCUAGUCAGAUUAUAGCAUUUCGAUGUGGAUAAACCUUAGGAGCAUUUGGAUGUGGUACCUCGCUUAAGCUAAACCUGGACAUGAAUCCAUGUCCUCCUACCCAAAAAUGCUCUUAUGGUUCCAAUACGCAAAUAUCAAAAGAGUAUAAUGCACUCAGGCAUGUCAGAUGCCAAUUUUAUAAAUGAGAAUGUCACUGCAGCAACAGCGAAGUAACCAAUCCGACAAUCACACACAAGCAUUCUAUUUAUUUCAAUCUCAAAGCAAGAGAAAUACGAUGUCUGCAGAAGUAUGUACUGCGUGUUUCAUGCAGAGCAUCGAUAGCUGAUCAAUGUACAGGUGAAGAAUACCAAGAGAGAUUUCAGGCUCCAUAGACACUGCAGGAGAAAAGGCAGGUUGAUUCAGGAGCUUGAAGAAAGAUUGUAUGCAAGAAUUAUAAAUCACAAGAGAAGAAAGUUCUAAUUGUUUCACUUUAAUGUC